Choloepus hoffmanni (Hoffmann's two-fingered sloth) is the source of this 108-nucleotide small nuclear RNA. The record is from Ensembl. Lineage: Eukaryota; Metazoa; Chordata; Mammalia; Pilosa; Megalonychidae.
GUGCUCACUUUGGCACGCACAUACACUAACAUUAGAAUGAUACAGAAAAGAUUAGCAUGGUUCCUGCUCAAGGAUGACACCCAAAUUCAUGAAGCAUUCCAUAUUUUU